This 69-nucleotide transfer RNA is filed under the name Loxodonta africana (African savanna elephant). It matches the Rfam family "tRNA". From Rfam's summary of the family: Transfer RNA (tRNA) molecules are approximately 80 nucleotides in length. Their secondary structure includes four short double-helical elements and three loops (D, anti-codon, and T loops). Lineage: Eukaryota; Metazoa; Chordata; Mammalia; Proboscidea; Elephantidae. The record is from Rfam by way of RNAcentral.
GCAUUGGUAGUUCAGUUAGAAUUCCCACCUUCCAUGAAGGAGGCCCAGGUUCAAUUCCUAGCCAGUACA